CAUUAUGAACCAUACAUCAUGGCUUUAUACAAUGGGACAGUAUAAGCCUAUAUAUUUGGCUAAAUCAUAAUAUUACAUAAUACCAAAAACUAAAUCUCUAUACAUUCCACUCACUUAUAGAUGAAUAAGAAUUUCUAUUAUUCCAACCUGAAAAAUUGAUAGUGUGAUGAUACCUCCAACAAUCUCCAACCCUGAGCCAAUCCUGAAAAACACUGAGAGAAAUGGGAAAGUAGUGUAAAUUUUAUAACUUAGUAAGUUGGCACAUAAUAAUAAGAAAUUUAAUUAACAAUAUUAACCCAUUCCUCAAUAAGUAUGCUCAAGAAAAUAGAAUCAAUAUUCACAUGAUUUCACCUUUUUACUCAAAUUCAGUUUAAACUGUUUUCCCAAGUCACAGUCACUAAUUUAAUUAUUUAAUAAGAUAAAGAAGUUGAAAUUAAGUUCCGUAAAUUUUCCCUAAAAUCAAACUCAUAUACCUUCUUGCCAUAAAAUUUCCAGAAAUUUUGGCUUAGCCAAUUAAUACAGUUUAUUCAUUAGAUUUUCCCCUAUUUCACUGUUUGACAGUUCUGACAUCUCUUCACAAAGACUAAGAUAUUUAAUUAUACAGAAUUCAAAUAAUGUUAUCGUUUGUUCCAAUAUAAAAUAGACUAAAUAAGGAUUCUAAGCAUAUAAACCAUGCACCAUAAUUAUUUUUAUAUAAUUUAUAAUGAUUUUUCCAAGUCAGAACAAGGGAUCACGUAAUCAGUCUAAACCAGUCUCACAAGAAUUUAAAUAUCUCAUAAAGUAUAAUCCAUUUGCUCACAUCAUUUUAUUUAUAUGAAAAUAUACUCAAUUACCUUUAAUUUCAUAUCUCAUUCAAUUAUUAAUUCAAUUCCUACCAUUUUUGGUGAUUUUUCAAAUGUACAUGGCUGGUACUGUCCAAAUCUGCUUUACUUUUAAAAUUCACUAUUUCAUGCUUUCUCUAUAGUUGCAUUAAUGGUAACACUUACCUCUUAUCAACCUUACCAAAGUACAAUCAUAAAACGAGCUUAUUGCUCAUAGUUUACACAUAUAUACCUGCACUUAUUCACAAGAUUCAUAUUCACACUUAAACAUAUAAAUGCCUCAAACACAAUGUUCACUUGCACAUUAUUAUCACAUGAUUAAAACAUUUUCACAUUUAAUCACUUUUCAUUAUAUCAAUUCAAUACCCGUUGAACCCUAUGGAAUAAUAAAGGAUACACGGAAUAAGGCACAAAGUGCCACAUUGUAAUAUAGCCGAAGCUAUCACUAUAACGUAGCCGAAGCUACCACUGUAUUGUAGCUGAAGCUACCACUAUAUUGUAGCCGAAGCUACCACUGUAUUGUAGCCCAAGCUACCACUGUAUUGUAGCCCAAGCUACCACUGAGAUGUAGCCAAAGCUACCACUGUAUUGUAGUCUAUAGAUUCCUAAGGUUCAAUCGGGAUUUGUUUUAGUUUCACUCAUUAACACUUAUUCAACAUUCACUUAAUCACUUAUCUCGAAACAACACUAAUUCAAAAUUUUUUUAUAAUAUGUAUAAUCAUAGAAAUCACAUUUAAAUACAAUAUUUCAAUGCACUUUCUUGUACCAUAGACAUAUUUUUAAAUCAAUUUAUAAACUUGGCAUAUUAAACAUUUAAUUCAACACAAUUCAAUUAAUUCACUAAUUUAACUUUCAAAUAUAAAUUACAAUGUUAUUACAUUAUUAUUAUCACGCCAACUUACCUCGAAUGCCGAAACGACUAAUUUUCCCGACUUAGCCCACAACUUCAUUCUUCCCCGAUCUUAGUCCAAAUUUCAUGUUUUCUUGAUCUAACAUGUCAAAUAUCACUCAUUUAACACCUUUUAUCAACACACUAAUCAAUUCAAUUCACAUAUCAAAUUUUGGAAAAUUUACAAUUUUGCCCCGUAACUUUUCAAAAAUUAUAUUUUUACCCCUAAGCUCGUAAAAUAAUUUUUUAUUAAAUUUUCUUAUGUUUCAUGACAUGCUGAACAUUUUUCUCUUCUAUGGAAACUUCAAAUUCUCACUAAUUCACACACUUAUGACCAAUUUAUAACUUUUACAAUUUGACCCCUUUUAUACGAUUUCAUCAAAAAUCAUCUAAUAAAACUCGUUUCUCUAAUCAUAGACAUGCAUAAUCUACCAUAAUUCAUCAAAAUACACAAUUAUUCAACAUGGGUCAAUUUUUAAAAUCAAACUCUAACUCAAAAUAAUGGUAGAAAUAGCUAAACCGAGUUAUCGAAAUUUCAAAAAUAUGACGAACAUUAAAAACGAGGCUCAAAUGCACUUACAAUUGAGCUUUGAAAAGCU
RNAcentral lists this long non-coding RNA (2309 nucleotides) under Gossypium barbadense (sea-island cotton). RNAcentral's name for it is "long non-coding RNA (GBAR_LNC008134)". Lineage: Eukaryota; Viridiplantae; Streptophyta; Magnoliopsida; Malvales; Malvaceae. The record is from RNAcentral.